UGGCGGACAUGCCUAACACAUGCAAGUCGAACGGAAUAGGUUUAGCUGUAGCGAUACUUUGGACCUAGUUAGUGGCGAACGGGUGAGUAACACGUGAGCAACCUGCCUUUUACACAGGGAUAACAGCCGGAAACGGCUGCUAAUACCGGAUAAGACCACACCGAGGCAUCUCGGAGGGGUCAAAGCGAAUUAGCGGUAAAAGAUGGGCUCGCGUCCCAUUAGCUAGUUGGUGAGAUAACAGCCCACCAAGGCGACGAUGGGUAGCCGACUUGAGAGAGUGAUCGGCCACAUUGGAACUGAGACACGGUCCAGACUCCUUCGGGAGGCAGCAGUGGGAAUAUUGGGCAAUGGAGGAAACUCUUACCCAGACAAUGCCGCGUGAAUGAAGAAGGCCGUUCGGGUUAGUAAAGUUUCUUUUAUUGAUGAAUAAAGAAAGUGAUAUUAGUCAAUGAAUAAGCCCCGGCUAACUAUGUGCCAGCAGCCGC
Molecule: ribosomal RNA, 485 nt
Filed under: uncultured bacterium
Lineage: Bacteria
Description: bacterial SSU rRNA
Rfam family: Bacterial small subunit ribosomal RNA
Source: RNAcentral